This 517-nucleotide long non-coding RNA is filed under the name Sinocyclocheilus anshuiensis. RNAcentral's name for it is "lncRNA (ENSSANG00000008568.1)". Lineage: Eukaryota; Metazoa; Chordata; Actinopteri; Cypriniformes; Cyprinidae. The record is from RNAcentral.
AAAAAACACGUCUUGAAUACUCAGCUGUAUUCCUCUGGCUAAAGACCAUUUGAAUGGCUUAUUGUGCGAAAAACGAAAUUUUUCGUGCACCUGUGCCAAUUCAUAAGUCUGGAGAAAUGCAUCAAGAGUACGAGAAACAAAAGAUGAAGGGUGGAGGAAGUGAAGAAACUGAAGAGAGGAAGAAAAAAAUCCACAGAAAAGAAGAGUGUGGGAUGCUGAAACAUUGUCAAUAUCCUUUUACCGUGUUUCAGUUCUGUGGAGUGUCCGACUCUGAGAAUGAAGAGCCGGUGGGAAAGAGGACCCGACAUGUUUCAGCAUUUGUGCGAAAAACAAGAUGCUCCCCUGCUUUCAAUAGAGGUUGUCUUCAUAGCAGUGCUGUCCAGAGGAGCAGGAGCUGUACAGAUUCGGAGGAUGGAAGAGGAAAAAGCAGAGGUCACGCACAUCAUGCCGUUCCUGACAAGGUGUUAUUCAUCUUGGUGGAAACCCUGGAUCAGCGUGGGAUUGGUGACUCCGGGAC